UGCACAAACCACAGUAUACACUAAUUCUAUCAGUACUCCCUAUAUGAUUCAUUAGUUCUAUAUUGCAGGAAGAAAUCUUACUAAACGAUCGGCUAACUCACUAAACCAUCUCAUGGAACAAUGAACUUUGAGAAAUCAGCACAAAGUACAUCAGGUUUUAUAUUAAGGAUUUUUCAAAGCUAAUGUUAUAAUUCCUCAAUCCUCUCUAUCCACAAACCUAUGGUGCACAUAAUCAGUGACAUUCAAAUUAGCAUCCAGCUUCCAAAGGAGGAAUCCUGAAGACCAUUCACUCCAUAUCACUUCAUAUGAAGUAUAAUUGAGCUAAAUAAACCAUUUCAAUGCAUACUGGAGUUAAUGAAGCAACUAGUUUAGUUUCAACAUAAUGACCACAGAUUCAGAAAUCAGACACAAAAUGGAACUUGGGGGAAGCGGAUACCAAAGAAAAUACAUUUUAUGUGCUUGCCAACCGCCUCUGUUAAUAGCUACAUGAUUGCCAAGUGAAAAUUAAUUUGAAACCUCAUCAUUUGGUUGAAUUAGCUAAUCUGACUUUUGAGAAUUGUAGCACAAAGGGAAGUCAACCUAGUGUCACUUCUGUUUCUUAAGAUGUCUCCUAGAGAUAGUGGACCUUCAAAAAUGCCCAAGUCUCACUUUGGCUUAUCAAGUAUGGUUUUGUUUCUCUCUCUAAGAAUGUUUUCCUCAAAAUAAGGGGAAGAAAAGAAAAGGAUAUGAUAUAAACUCACAGUUUUAAGAACUGAGUCCCAAUAAGGCUGUCAA
This 774-nucleotide unclassified non-coding RNA is filed under the name Hevea brasiliensis (rubber tree). The record is from RNAcentral. Lineage: Eukaryota; Viridiplantae; Streptophyta; Magnoliopsida; Malpighiales; Euphorbiaceae.